UGGCGGACGGGUGAGUAACGCGUAGGAAUCUGCCUGGUGAUGGGGGAUAACCCGGGGAAACUCGGGCUAAUACCGCAUACGCUCUACGGAGGAAAGCGGGGGAUCUUCGGACCUCGCGUCAUCAGAUGAGCCUGCGUCCGAUUAGCUAGUUGGAGGGGUAAAGGCCCACCAAGGCGACGAUCGGUAGCUGGUCUGAGAGGACGAUCAGCCACACUGGAACUGAGACACGGUCCAGACUCCUACGGGAGGCAGCAGUGGGGAAUAUUGGACAAUGGGCGCAAGCCUGAUCCAGCAAUGCCGCGUGUGUGAAGAAGGCCUGCGGGUUGUAAAGCACUUUAAGCAGGAAAGAAGGCUCUGGGGCUAAUAUCCUCGGGGAUUGACGUUACCUGCAGAAUAAGCACCGGCUAACUCCGUGCCAGCAGCCGCGGUAAUACGGAGGGUGCGAGCGUUAAUCGGAAUUACUGGGCGUAAAGCGCGCGUAGGCGGUUCAUUAAGUCUGCUGUGAAAGCCCUGGGCUUAACCUGGGAACUGCAGUGGAUACUGGUGGGCUAGAGUGCGGUAGAGGGGUGUGGAAUUUCCG
This 580-nucleotide ribosomal RNA is filed under the name uncultured bacterium. Its description in RNAcentral is "bacterial SSU rRNA". It matches the Rfam family "Bacterial small subunit ribosomal RNA", at positions 96 to 672 of the family's 1533-position model. The record is from RNAcentral.